GGGCGUAUAGCUCAGUGGUAGAGCGCCCGCUUUGCAUCAAGCAAAGUUGCGGGAGGUCUGGAUUUCGAUCAUCCAUCCGUCCA
Molecule: transfer RNA, 83 nt
Organism: Bipolaris zeicola 26-R-13
Lineage: Eukaryota; Fungi; Ascomycota; Dothideomycetes; Pleosporales; Pleosporaceae
Rfam family: tRNA
About the family: Transfer RNA (tRNA) molecules are approximately 80 nucleotides in length.
Source: Rfam